Molecule: non-coding RNA, 275 nt
Filed under: Desulfobacter sp.
Lineage: Bacteria; Pseudomonadati; Thermodesulfobacteriota; Desulfobacteria; Desulfobacterales; Desulfobacteraceae
Description: Desulfitibacter sp. T-box sequence
Rfam family: T-box leader
About the family: Uncharged tRNA acts as the effector for transcription antitermination of genes in the T-box leader family. T-boxes are found upstream of many aminoacyl-tRNA synthetase genes and some amino acid biosynthetic genes usually in Gram-positive bacteria. The anticodon of a specific tRNA base pairs to a specifier sequence within the T-box motif, and the NCCA acceptor tail of the tRNA base pairs to a conserved bulge in the T-box antiterminator hairpin.
Source: RNAcentral
UAAAAGACUAUGAUGGAGAAAAGUAGAUUAGACCCAGUUUUUUCAGGGAGAAGGUGUCAUCGACUGAAAGCACCUUUAAAACAUGAUUAAUCGAAGUUCACUCCUGAGUCACUAGUUGAAAGCCUUAAUGGUGAAUAGACAGGGUCGUAUAUUCUCUACGUUACAAGAGAAGGGGUAUCGGAAUAGUUAUUUCCCGUAUCUUAUUUGAGAGGUUCUGUUUAUUAACAGAACAAUUAAGGUGGUAACGCGAUAAGCUAAAGCUUUUCGUCCUUUGG